UGCGUAGGGUGCGAGCGUUGUCCGGAAUUACUGGGCGUAAAGAGCUCGUAGGUGGUUUGUCGCGUUGUCCGUGAAAACUCACAGCUUAACUGUGGGCGUGCGGGCGAUACGGGCAGACUGGAGUACUGCAGGGGAGACUGGAAUUCCUGGUGUAGCGGUGGAAUGCGCAGAUAUCAGGAGGAACACCGGUGGCGAAGGCGGCAUCCUGGACCGGCAUUGACGCUGAUGAGCGAAAGCUAGGGGAGCAAACGGG
Molecule: ribosomal RNA, 253 nt
Filed under: uncultured bacterium
Lineage: Bacteria
Description: partial 16S ribosomal RNA
Rfam family: Bacterial small subunit ribosomal RNA
Source: RNAcentral